UUCGUAGGCGGUGUGGCAAGUCGGGAGUGAAAUCUCUGGGCUUAACUCAGGGGCUGCUUCCGAAACUGCUGUGCUAGAGUGUGGGAGAGGCGCGUGGAAUUGCAGGUGUAGCGGUGAAAUGCGUAGAUAUCUGCAGGAACACCCGUGGCGAAAGCGGCGCGCUGGACCACUACUGACGCUGAGGAACGAAAGCUAGGGGAGCAAACA
This 207-nucleotide ribosomal RNA is filed under the name uncultured bacterium. Its description in RNAcentral is "partial 16S ribosomal RNA". It matches the Rfam family "Bacterial small subunit ribosomal RNA", at positions 568 to 774 of the family's 1533-position model. The record is from RNAcentral.